AGCGGCAGACGGGUGAGUAACACGUGGGUAACCUGCCCAAGAGACUGGGAUAACACCUGGAAACAGAUGCUAAUACCGGAUAACAACACUAGACGCAUGUCUAGAGCUUGAAAGAUGGUUCUGCUAUCACUCUUGGAUGGACCUGCGGUGCAUUAGCUAGUUGGUAAGGUAACGGCUUACCAAGGCAAUGAUGCAUAGCCGAGUUGAGAGACUGAUCGGCCACAUUGGGACUGAGACACGGCCCAAACUCCUACGGGAGGCAGCAGUAGGGAAUCUUCCACAAUGGACGAAAGUCUGAUGGAGCAACGCCGCGUGAGUGAAGAAGGGUUUCGGCUCGUAAAGCUCUGUUGGUAGUGAAGAAAGAUAGAGGUAGUAACUGGCCUUUAUUUGACGGUAAUUACUUAGAAAGUCACGGCUAACUACGUGCCAGCAGCCGCGGUAAUACGUAGGUGGCAAGCGUUGUCCGGAUUUAUUGGGCGUAAAGCGAGUGCAGGCGGUUCAAUAAGUCUGAUGUGAAAGCCUUCGGCUCAACCGGAGAAUUGCAUCAGAAACUGUUGAACUUGAGUGCAGAAGAGGAGAGUGGAACUCCAUGUGUAGCGGUGGAAUGCGUAGAUAUAUGGAAGAACACCAGUGGCGAAGGCGGCUCUCUGGUCUGCAACUGACGCUGAGGCUCGAAAGCAUGGGUAGCGAACAGGAUUAGAUACCCUGGUAGUCCAUGCCGUAAACGAUGAGUGCUAAGUGU
This 742-nucleotide ribosomal RNA is filed under the name uncultured bacterium. Its description in RNAcentral is "bacterial SSU rRNA". It matches the Rfam family "Bacterial small subunit ribosomal RNA", at positions 94 to 823 of the family's 1533-position model. The record is from RNAcentral.